RNAcentral lists this ribosomal RNA (776 nucleotides) under uncultured Neocallimastigales. RNAcentral's name for it is "partial large subunit ribosomal RNA". It matches the Rfam family "Eukaryotic large subunit ribosomal RNA", at positions 24 to 646 of the family's 3401-position model. Lineage: Eukaryota; Fungi; Neocallimastigomycota; Neocallimastigomycetes; Neocallimastigales. The record is from RNAcentral.
UAUCUCUGUAGAGUCUGCAUAUCAAUAAGCGGAGGAAAAGAAACUAACAAGGAUUCCCUUAGUAACGGCGAGUGAAGCGGGAAGAGCUCAAAUUUGAAAUCUUCAAGGUUCUACCUUGACGAAUUGUAGUUUAUAGAAGUGUUUUCUGUUAGUAGGAGUGGCAAAAGUUCUUUGGAAUAGGACAUCAUAGAGGGUGAGAAUCCCGUAUUUGGUCAUUCUUUCUAGCUUUGUGAUACACUUUCAACGAUGUCGGAUUGUUUGGGAAUGCAGUCCAAAAUGGGUGGUAAAUUUCAUCUAAAGCUAAAUAUUGGCGAGAGACCGAUAGCGAACAAGUACCGUGAGGGAAAGAUGAAAAGAACUUUGAAAAGAGAGUUAAACAGUACGUGAAAUUGUCAAAAGGGAAGCGUUUGACACCAGUGUUGUUUUUCCGAAAAUCAAUUACGAAUGUUUUGUUUUUGAGAAGUUAUGACUUCAUCGGCUUGCUUCUCUCUUUACGAAACUUUCUUAAUGCACUUUUCGGUUAACAAGUCAACAUCAAUUUCUUUUGUUGUAAAUGGGUAUGAGGAAGGUGGCUUUCUUUUCGGAGAAAGUGUUUAUAGCCUUGUACCUCUGCAAUCGGAGAGAUUGAGGUCUGCAGCGUAGAUCCUUCGGGGUUAGAUACAUUUGUGCUAAGUUAUAGCUUUUCAUAGACAACUUGUUGACUAUGUUUAGUCUUGUAGAUUACUCGCUUAUGCUAUUUUACCUACGCUUAGGAUGUUGAUGUGAUACUGCGAGCA